Molecule: ribosomal RNA, 254 nt
Filed under: uncultured bacterium
Lineage: Bacteria
Description: partial 16S ribosomal RNA
Rfam family: Bacterial small subunit ribosomal RNA
Source: RNAcentral
UACGGGGGGAGCAAGCGUUGUUCGGCUUUACUGGGCGUAAAGGGCGCGUAGGCGGUCAGCACAAGUCAGUUGUGAAAUCUCCGAGCUUAACUCGGAAAGGUCAACUGAUACUGUGCGACUAGAGUGCAGAAGGGGCAACUGGAAUUCUCGGUGUAGCGGUGAAAUGCGUAGAUAUCGAGAGGAACACCUGCGGCGAAGGCGGGUUGCUGGGCUGACACUGACGCUGAGGCGCGAAAGCUAGGGGAGCGAACGGG